AACCUAAUAUAUUCUCCCGAUUCUUCUCUUCGCAUCUCCUUCACCACACGCACGCCGCCGAUUCCCAUCCCCUCUCCCGAUCUCCUUCUUCCAUCGCCUCUCUUCAUCGCCGUCGACCACCGAGCCUCGACGCCGACAACAGCGAGCCCCGAUCGCCAUAGCUAGCCACCAACCUUGAGACGCUGGUGCCAUGUGUUGCAGCCGCCGUCGAUCUCCGCUACCGCCUUCUCCACCCUUCAAUCGGUUGAGUUGUGCUCUAGCUCGAUCCAUCGCAGCCUUCCUGUGAGCGAGCCUGGAUUGGCAAUGCUACAGCCACCGAUCGAGUAAGAGUCCCGGUCACCCCUUCUUUCCCUCCGUCGUGGGCAUCUCCGACUAGGUGGUUGUGUCAUUGUCCAUCUACAUCGCUGCCCACUGUGCGAGCAUGGGAGGUGGAUGAUGGUAGCCAUAGUUGUGGUUCCCUUCAGGCCAUCCAUCCUCUUGUCAACCAAGAAGACCAACCGUGGUGAUUCUCUAGCUCCACUGCUUCUUCAGAGUUGUUCCGACCACAAGCAAGAGGGCACCAUACUCCUGCACACUGCCAACUUUGCACCGGUCAUUGUUGCUCCACCAACAACUAGUCCAAAUAGGUGCCUCUGCUGGCCACAGUGAGUUGCCACCAUAGAGGAAGGAAGCUAGAUGUUUGAUUUGGGACUUUGAUUCAAGAUGAGCAUCUCAAUAUAGAAGCGGUUGCUUUAUAAGGACUUACCAUUAGGCAGUUGCCAUCGGCGACGCUGCAGAUCGGGUAGUCACGGGGGCAGCAGCUGUAGUGGUCGUUGCAGCAGGUCGCCCCCUCAAGCGGACAGCACCCCCAAGUGAAGCAGUGAUUGCCCUGCUGGUAGAUGCAGCAGCAUGUGGUGCUGCCGGAGCAGGUGUAGUAGCUAUCGCAAGCGGUAAGAGGUUUGGCAAGGGAAGGCGCAGAGGAAGAAGAAGAGGCAGCAGCAUGGUUGUUGAGCAGGUUGGCCCCUCCUUUUGUGGGGUAAGAAGCCAUCGAGGCAAUACCACAUUUGCCAGACCUCUCUGCAAUGUUCCGUUCCAUUCGUAUGUAACCAGACUCCCCCCAAUUCUCACCCCA
Molecule: long non-coding RNA, 1111 nt
Organism: Zingiber officinale
Lineage: Eukaryota; Viridiplantae; Streptophyta; Magnoliopsida; Zingiberales; Zingiberaceae
Exons: 2
Source: RefSeq, a predicted model, not a curated record